RNAcentral lists this unclassified non-coding RNA (1230 nucleotides) under Schistocerca americana (American grasshopper). RNAcentral describes it as "deubiquitinase OTUD6B, transcript variant X2". The record is from RNAcentral. Lineage: Eukaryota; Metazoa; Arthropoda; Insecta; Orthoptera; Acrididae.
CGUGUACAACUAAGAUCUUUGGAUUGUUGACAUUGGAGUUGUAGGAGGAGCCAGGAGGUGUUCAUAUAAGUGCCUAUUUCAGACAUUAGAAAUAUUUAACAAGGAGAUGACGUUUCUGUGAAAUUGAGAGCGGACUUGGUUUGUCCUCCUAUUGUACGCGAUUUUUUUUCUUUGAUAGCAGAACAGUAGAAAGUGACUAUGGCAGAUGACACGGAAUUCAUGGAUGAAGAAACUCUAUUAACGAAACACCGAAAAGAGAAGAAGGAACUGCAAAGUAAAAUUCAAGCACUUAAGAAGACAGCAACAAAAGGUGACAAGAAGAAGAAGAAAGAAGUUAUGGAGGAAAUUGCUGCACUAGAGAUGGAGUUAGAGAAAAAACAGAAUGAGGAAUUGGAUAAACUAAAAGGAAUUACGGAGGUUAAUGGGGUGUCAACAGAUACGGAAAAGUUGCAUUUAGAUGAAAAACAACCUGAAGAAAAAGUAAUGGAAGAGGAGGAGGAGGAAGAAGAAAAUUGUGGUGGACCACAUCUACAGAAACGUAUAACAAAAGCACAAAAAAGGAGAGAGAAAAAAGCAACAAAAGAGAAGGAAAGAGAGAGAUUAAUAGCAAUACAGGAGACAGAAAAUGUACAUGGAGCUAGAAACAUAGAAAUGCAGAAGAUAAAACAAAUUCUGAAAGAGAAGAAAUUGAUGUUACAUGAAAUACCAUCUGAUGGCAACUGCUUAUAUUGUGCAAUAGAUUUUGCACAGGCAGCAGUUGGGGGAGAAGAAAUGGGAUAUCAGACUUUAAGGAUGCUGACCAGUCAGUUCUUAAGGAAAAACUGCUCUGAUUUUCUUCCAUUUCUCAGUGAUCCUGUGACAGGGGAUACAUUUUCAAAAGAGCAGUAUGAAGAAUACUGUGAUCAGAUUGCCAACACAUCCAGCUGGGGUGGACAAGUGGAGCACGAGUGCUACAUUGCUCACAGCACCAGAUCAGUAUUUUUCUUUGAAACUGCAUGCAGCAUGUUGUGCAAGCAUAAAGUAUGAGGGAUUAAUGAAGAAGAAUGGCCGUAAUGGUGCUGUGUUUGAGUUGUCUUGUGUGCAGACCAUCAGUUCGUCAAACUAGGUACACACAGCACCUUGUGAAGCAUGGCUGGCAAGAACGACCCCCUUCCACUGCAAUCGCAGUGUAAUUUUAAGGAGUACAAGAGGUGUGGCUAUAAAAUAACGGGGUGUAAAACACUUUAUUUC